This 50-nucleotide non-coding RNA is filed under the name Agrobacterium sp. RNAcentral describes it as "Guanidine-II sequence". It matches the Rfam family "Guanidine-II riboswitch aptamer (mini-ykkC)". Rfam says of the family: Simpler in structure and has fewer highly conserved nucleotide positions than the ykkC-yxkD leader. The record is from RNAcentral. Lineage: Bacteria; Pseudomonadati; Pseudomonadota; Alphaproteobacteria; Hyphomicrobiales; Rhizobiaceae.
UUGCGAGGACGACCUCGGCCAUUCAGGCUACAGCAGACGGGACGGCCCGG